Molecule: transfer RNA, 76 nt
Filed under: Leucobacter soli
Lineage: Bacteria; Bacillati; Actinomycetota; Actinomycetes; Micrococcales; Microbacteriaceae
Description: Leucobacter sp. IMT-300 tRNA-Arg
Rfam family: tRNA
About the family: Transfer RNA (tRNA) molecules are approximately 80 nucleotides in length. Their secondary structure includes four short double-helical elements and three loops (D, anti-codon, and T loops).
Source: RNAcentral
GCCUCCAUAGCUCAGCUGGAUAGAGCGCGGGCCUUCUAAUCCCGAUGUCGCAGGUUCGAGUCCUGCUGGGGGCACC